Misgurnus anguillicaudatus (oriental weatherfish) is the source of this 1704-nucleotide long non-coding RNA. RefSeq lists it as uncharacterized. The record is from RefSeq and is a predicted model, not a curated record. Lineage: Eukaryota; Metazoa; Chordata; Actinopteri; Cypriniformes; Cobitidae.
GAAUUACAUUUGUGUCAAAUUAAACGCACGCAACUUUUGCAAAAACAAACAAAAAUAUACAUUGAUAAAAGAAAAAAACUAUCUGAAAAUAAAAACAAUCAACUAACUAGCAAAAACAUUAACAUCAUCUUUAAAUAUACUGCAUUCUUUGUUUAUAGUUUUCUAAGUUUCACUUUCACUAAAUAUAGUUUUGAAUGUGCUGCAAAUGUUUUCGUUUUCACUUUCCAAGUUUUCGUUUGCGCUUCGCAAAUUUACGUUCUCCAUUUUGACACAAACCUCUCGUGAGGGGCGGGCUUAACAGCGGUUCGCUCUUAUUGGCUUGUGAGAUUUUGAUUGACAGCUCAUUGAACCGGAACCCCGGAACAGAAGGUGGCGGUAGUGCGCCAAUAAGCUGGAUCCCAACCACUGUUAAAAAUAACAAGAAGAAGACGAUCGGACGCUGUUUAUCAGCGGAGCUGCAAGUAGUCUAAACAAACGGUAAUAAGAGUAUAUUUAUUUAAUGAUAAAACACGGAUAUUUUACACGUCAGCAGAGGAAUAACAAUAGUUCAAGAUGAGUAAUCGGGAGGCUCACGGUCUGGAGCAACAACACCAUCCUCCUCGGCCGGACAAUCGAGGCAACCUUACCUGAGACGGCGAAACUCAGGACGAGGCAGCACUUUCUGUCCCAUGCAGUGGUUGACAGGCACCUGCUUCUGUCAGAGAAAAACGCCUUCAAAAUAACUGAUAAUAACUUUGAUCACACAUGCAUGCAUCGAAGGCCAAGCAAAUGAAUUUAAAGAAAGAAUGGAAACAGCAGUGCAACAUAAUGCUUACUUUUACAGAGUGUCAGUUGAAAUGAACUCAAAUGUCUAGACAAAAUGUUUCUCCCAAUAGUAAUGUCUUUUUUAUCAUUUAUAGAUGCUGUUUAACAGUUGUUAAUGAUUUUACAUGCAUCUGAAUGGUUUACAGAGUCUUAAAGGGAUAGUUCACACAAAAAUGAAAAUUCUGUUAUUAUUUACUCAGUCUCAUGUUGUUGUAAACCUAUUUAAGUUUCUUUAUUCUGCUGAGAAGAUAUUUUGAUAAAUGAUGGUAAGCACACAUGAGAGUGUACCCAUUGACGUCUAAAGUACAAAUUAAAUCUAAGGAGGAAAAUGGAGGACAGUCAAUUUUCUAUGUCAUGUGAUGUUUAAACACACAAAAGUUUCUAAUCUAAUCAUCCAUAUGCCGAUAUAUAACAUGCAUAACGUCUUGCAUUGCAUUUGUCCUUCAUGUUUAGCUGCGUUGACUCUCAGAUAUGUAAAGCACAGGCUGACAGAUGUAGUGAGAAGGCAUGAUAUAUAAAGAUAAAUUACCAGCACAACGCUAUAAAGUGUUGCCAUGAAUAACCCUGCAGAUGCAUAUGAAUCUGGACACAAUAAGAGGGGAAGCCCAGCAGUCAGAGAUGUGUCUCCAUUGUGAUUACAGGUGGGAAAUAGUUUUAAAGGAAAGGUACAUCUGUGAACCAGCUUUUGUAUCUUGUAAACCUGAAAAUGACUUUUACAAUUUAAAUGGAGCACAGUCUUUGGAUGACAUCAAGUGUCUGUUGGUAUAACUCCUAGACAUUCAAUGGUGAUAUCAAAGGCUUUUGGUCUGACAAAGGACAAUAGAUCUCUGGCACCACGACCACACCAUCAUCCUCUGUGACAUUGUCAACAAUUUCCUCUUAAAAAAGUUGCUCCACCAU